This is a non-coding RNA of Ruminococcus callidus ATCC 27760, 172 nucleotides long. The record is from Rfam. NCBI's taxonomy places the organism in Bacteria, Bacillati, Bacillota, Clostridia, Eubacteriales, Oscillospiraceae.
GGAAUAGGUAGAGGCGCACUUGCGAUGAGUAUGUUCCGACAGGUUACCAUUCCGCGAUGAUCGGAGCAGAAAGGCGUUCGUGCCGAAGAAGCUGUACCGGUGACACAGCUUCUGGGCAUAUUUCCAAACAGGGAUAUGACUGUCAUCGUUAUGAUGGAGUGCUAUCGGCGAU